GACGAACGCUGGCGGCGUGCUUAACACAUGCAAGUCGAACGGAAAGGCCCUGCUUGCAGGGUAUUCGAGUGGCGAACGGGUGAGUAACACGUGGGUGAUCUGCCCUGCACUUCGGGAUAAGCCUGGGAAACUGGGUCUAAUACCGGAUAGGAGCCAUUUUUAGUGUGAUGGUUGGAAAGUUUUUUCGGUGUAGGAUGAGCUCGCGGCCUAUCAGCUUGUUGGUGGGGUAAUGGCCUACCAAGGCGGCGACGGGUAGCCGGCCUGAGAGGGUGGACGGCCACAUUGGGACUGAGAUACGGCCCAGACUCCUACGGGAGGCAGCAGUGGGGAAUAUUGCACAAUGGGCGCAAGCCUGAUGCGGCGACGCCGCGUGGGGGAUGACGGCCUUCGGGUUGUAAACUCCUUUCGCUAGGGACGAAGCUUCUUGUGACGGUACCUAGAUAAGAAGCACCGGCUAACUACGUG
This 465-nucleotide ribosomal RNA is filed under the name uncultured bacterium. Its description in RNAcentral is "partial 16S ribosomal RNA". It matches the Rfam family "Bacterial small subunit ribosomal RNA", at positions 28 to 507 of the family's 1533-position model. The record is from RNAcentral.